RNAcentral lists this ribosomal RNA (547 nucleotides) under Agrobacterium tumefaciens. RNAcentral describes it as "bacterial SSU rRNA". It matches the Rfam family "Bacterial small subunit ribosomal RNA", at positions 193 to 760 of the family's 1533-position model. The record is from RNAcentral. Lineage: Bacteria; Pseudomonadati; Pseudomonadota; Alphaproteobacteria; Hyphomicrobiales; Rhizobiaceae.
CCUACGGGGGAAAGAUUUAUCGGGGAAGGAUUGGCCCGCGUUGGAUUAGCUAGUUGGUGGGGUAAAGGCCUACCAAGGCGACGAUCCAUAGCUGGUCUGAGAGGAUGAUCAGCCACAUUGGGACUGAGACACGGCCCAAACUCCUACGGGAGGCAGCAGUGGGGAAUAUUGGACAAUGGGCGCAAGCCUGAUCCAGCCAUGCCGCGUGAGUGAUGAAGGCCUUAGGGUUGUAAAGCUCUUUCACCGGAGAAGAUAAUGACGGUAUCCGGAGAAGAAGCCCCGGCUAACUUCGUGCCAGCAGCCGCGGUAAUACGAAGGGGGCUAGCGUUGUUCGGAAUUACUGGGCGUAAAGCGCACGUAGGCGGAUAUUUAAGUCAGGGGUGAAAUCCCAGAGCUCAACUCUGGAACUGCCUUUGAUACUGGGUAUCUUGAGUAUGGAAGAGGUAAGUGGAAUUCCGAGUGUAGAGGUGAAAUUCGUAGAUAUUCGGAGGAACACCAGUGGCGAAGGCGGCUUACUGGUCCAUUACUGACGCUGAGGUGCGAAAGC